RNAcentral lists this ribosomal RNA (254 nucleotides) under uncultured bacterium. RNAcentral describes it as "partial 16S ribosomal RNA". It matches the Rfam family "Bacterial small subunit ribosomal RNA", at positions 524 to 776 of the family's 1533-position model. The record is from RNAcentral.
UACGUAGGGUGCAAGCGUUGUCCGGAAUUAUUGGGCGUAAAGAGCUCGUAGGCGGUUUGUCGCGUCUGCUGUGAAAACCCGAGGCUCAACCUCGGGCCUGCAGUGGGUACGGGCAGACUAGAGUGCGGUAGGGGGAGAUUGGAAUUCCUGGUGUAGCGGUGAAAUGCGCAGAUAUCAGGAGGAACACCGGUGGCGAAGGCGGUUAGCUGGGCAGUUGCUGACACUGAGGCGCGACAGCGUGGGGAGCAAACAGG